Molecule: ribosomal RNA, 253 nt
Filed under: uncultured bacterium
Lineage: Bacteria
Description: partial 16S ribosomal RNA
Rfam family: Bacterial small subunit ribosomal RNA
Source: RNAcentral
UACGGAGGGGGCGAGCGUUAUUCGGAAUCAUUGGGCGUAAAGGUCGCGUAGGCGGCCCGCUAAGUCAGGGGUGAAAUCCCUCGGCUCAACCGAGGAAUUGCCUCUGAAACUGGCAGGCUCGAGGCCGGGAGAGGGUGGGGGAAUUCCCAGUGUAGCGGUGAAAUGCGUAGAUACUGGGAGGAACACCAGUGGCGAAGGCGGCCACCUGGACCGGUUCUGACGCUGAGGCGCGAAAGCGUGGGGAGCAAACAGG